GCUGUCUUGGCAGAUAAUAUGUUCUAGAUUUAGGAUCUAGGUAAAUAGGAGUGGUCCUAUAGACAGUA
This 68-nucleotide transfer RNA is filed under the name Leptodius sanguineus. RNAcentral describes it as "tRNA-Leu". Lineage: Eukaryota; Metazoa; Arthropoda; Malacostraca; Decapoda; Xanthidae. The record is from RNAcentral.